Molecule: unclassified non-coding RNA, 181 nt
Filed under: Glomeraceae sp.
Lineage: Eukaryota; Fungi; Glomeromycota; Glomeromycetes; Glomerales; Glomeraceae
Description: partial contains 5.8S ribosomal RNA and internal transcribed spacer 2
Rfam family: 5.8S ribosomal RNA (bases 1-65)
Source: RNAcentral
GUGAAUCAUCGAAUUUUUGAACGCAAAUUGCACUCUCUUCGGAGAGUAUGCCUGUUUGAGGGUCAGCCUAAAAAAAAUCGACAUCGUUGCAGUAUCGCGGCGGCGUUCGUCGGAAAUUGGGUUAUCUUAAAUUUUUGGUUUAAGCGACUCAAAAUUUUUUUCAUGAUUUCAUGAAUGUGUC